Molecule: ribosomal RNA, 513 nt
Filed under: uncultured bacterium
Lineage: Bacteria
Description: bacterial SSU rRNA
Rfam family: Bacterial small subunit ribosomal RNA
Source: RNAcentral
GAUGAACGCUAGCGGGAGGCUUAACACAUGCAAGUCGAGGGGCAGCAUAGGGUAGCAAUACUCUGAUGGCGACCGGCAAACGGGUGAGUAACGCGUAUGCAACCUACCCUGUACAGGGGGAUAACCCGGAGAAAUUCGGACUAAUAUCCCGUAAUAAUAUCCGGAGGCAUCUUUGGAUAUUUAAAGUUCCGACGGUACGGGAUGGGCAUGCGUAACAUUAACUGGUUGGUAAGGUAACGGCUUACCAAGGCUAUGAUGUUUAGGGGUCCUGAGAGGGUGGUCCCCCAACUGGUACUGAGACACGGACCAGACUCCUACGGGAGGCAGCAGUGAGGAAUAUUGGUCAAUGGGCGCAAGCCUGAACCAGCCAUCCCCGGUGCAGGAAGACGGCCCUAUGGGUUGUAAACUGCUUUUCCAGGGAGAGAACUUACGCACGUGUUGCGUGACUGACGGUACCCUGGGAAUAAGCAUCGGCUAACUCCGUGCCAGCAGCCGACGGUAAAAGUGUGUGUA